GACGUAGGGCGCGAGCGUUGUCCGGAUUUAUUGGGCGUAAAGGGCGCGUAGGCGGCUUGGCAAGUGGAUGGUGAAAUCCCUCGGCUUAACCGAGGAACUGCCGUCCAAACUGCUUUGCUUGAGACCGGGAGAGGUGAGUGGAAUUCCCAGUGUAGCGGUGAAAUGCGUAGAUAUUGGGAGGAACACCAGUGGCGAAGGCGGCUCACUGGACCGGUACUGACGCUGAGGCGCGAAAGCGUGGGGAGCAAACGGG
Molecule: ribosomal RNA, 253 nt
Filed under: uncultured bacterium
Lineage: Bacteria
Description: partial 16S ribosomal RNA
Rfam family: Bacterial small subunit ribosomal RNA
Source: RNAcentral